This 127-nucleotide ribosomal RNA is filed under the name Methylobacterium sp. Leaf93. Lineage: Bacteria; Pseudomonadati; Pseudomonadota; Alphaproteobacteria; Hyphomicrobiales; Methylobacteriaceae. The record is from RNAcentral.
CGUGGCGGCGACACCGAUCGGCACGGUCUCGACCAUNAACCCGAUCCCAUCUCGAACUCGGCCGUUAAACACACCAGCGCCCAUGGUACUGUGUCUCAAGACACGGGAGAGUCGGUCGCCGCCAGAC